AACUAAAGGGGGUGUGAGUGAUUGCUGGGCCCAGACUAGAAGGAGACUAGUCUGUAAAAAGAAGCUUACUUGAACUGGUGAGGUUUUAUCUCUAUUCAGUUUUCUUAGACAUAGACUUGCAUCUUCUAUUUUAUUUGGCUUAAUAAUUUAAUUUGUUCUGUCUGCUAU
This is a long non-coding RNA of Gopherus evgoodei (Goodes thornscrub tortoise), 168 nucleotides long. RefSeq lists it as uncharacterized. NCBI's taxonomy places the organism in Eukaryota, Metazoa, Chordata, Testudines, Testudinidae. The transcript is spliced from 3 exons. The record is from RefSeq and is a predicted model, not a curated record.